CCUACGUGAGGCAGCAGUGGGGGAUAUUGCACAAUGGGGGGAACCCUGAUGCAGCGAAGCCGCGUGGGUGAAGGCGUCUUUCGGUAUGUAAAGCCCUAUCGGCAGGGAAGAAUUUAGACGGUACCUGACUACGAAGACCCGGCUAACUACGUGCCAGCAGCCGCGGUAAUACGUAGGGGGCACGCGUUAUCCGGAUUCCCUGGGUGUACAGGGAGCGUAGACGGCCAGGCAAGCCUGGAGUGAAAGCCCGGGGCCCAACCCCGGGACGGCACUGGGAACUGUCCGGCUGGAGUGCGGUGGAGGCAGGCGGAAUGCCUGGUGUAGCGGUGAAAUGCGUAGAUAUCAGGAGGAACACCGGCGGCGAAGGCGGCCUGCUGGACCGCGACUGACGUUGAGGCUCGAAAGCGUGGGGAGCGAACAGGAUUAGAUACCCCUGUAGUC
Molecule: ribosomal RNA, 441 nt
Filed under: uncultured bacterium
Lineage: Bacteria
Description: partial 16S ribosomal RNA
Rfam family: Bacterial small subunit ribosomal RNA
Source: RNAcentral